Molecule: ribosomal RNA, 255 nt
Filed under: uncultured bacterium
Lineage: Bacteria
Description: partial 16S ribosomal RNA
Rfam family: Bacterial small subunit ribosomal RNA
Source: RNAcentral
UACGGGGGGGGGUAAGCGUUGUUCGGAAUUACUGGGCGUAAAGGGCUCGUAGGCGGCCAACUAAGUCGGACGUGAAAUCCCUCAGUUUAACUGGGGAACUGCGUCCGAUACUGGAUGGCUUGGAUUUGGGAGAGGGAUGCGGAAUUCCAGGUGUAGCGGUGAAAUGCGUAGAUAUCUGGAGGAACACCGGUGGCGAAGGCGGCAUCCUGGACCAAUAUUGACGCUGAGGAGCGAAAGCCAGGGGAGCAAACGGGG